RNAcentral lists this unclassified non-coding RNA (314 nucleotides) under Hevea brasiliensis (rubber tree). The record is from RNAcentral. Lineage: Eukaryota; Viridiplantae; Streptophyta; Magnoliopsida; Malpighiales; Euphorbiaceae.
ACAAUUUUUUAUAUGGGGAGUGAGGUAAAUAACUCAAUUAUGAAUUUCAUUUUCUGAGAAACUUACAUAACCACAAAUUGUAUAAUUUGGCUGGCUUAGUUGCAGUUGCAGAGGAGGCAACUUAUGAGGAUAAAAGUAGCAUGGCCUAUAAAAAUGGCGCCAAUUUCCCUUAAAAUCCACUAAGAAACUCAUUUGGUAAUUUAACUCACUCCCCAUAUAAAAAAUUGUACAUAGAGGACAUAAAUUACCCACCGAACUUCGAUUUCAGAGGGCUGUUGGUACAAAAAGUGCAAGUCAUAUAAUGCUUGCAUGAG